GGACAGGAUUGGCAGAAGUUAGAAGAUCGAGGCGGCUGACAGUGUCCUUUAUUUGUACUGUGGCUAAUUAUGAGUAUGGUUUCUUUUGGCACUUCUUUCAGGAUGGAAAAAUCGAAGCUGAAGUCAAAUUAACUGGAAUUCUCAGCCUAGGAGCUUUGCAACCUGGUGAAUAUCGAAAAUAUGGCACGAUGAUUGCACCAGGUUUAUAUGCACCAGUGCAUCAACAUUUCUUUGUUGCUCGGAUGG
Molecule: unclassified non-coding RNA, 246 nt
Filed under: Hevea brasiliensis (rubber tree)
Lineage: Eukaryota; Viridiplantae; Streptophyta; Magnoliopsida; Malpighiales; Euphorbiaceae
Source: RNAcentral